UGGGGAAUAUUGGACAAUGGGCGAAAGCCUGAUCCAGCCGUGCCGCGUGUGUGAAGAAGGUCUUCGGAUUGUAAAGCACUUUAAGUUGGGAGGAAGGGCAUUAACCUAAUACGUUAGUGUUUUGACGUUACCGACAGAAUAAGCACCGGCUAACUCUGUGCCAGCAGCCGCGGUAAUACAGAGGGUGCAAGCGUUAAUCGGAAUUACUGGGCGUAAAGCGCGCGUAGGUGGUUUGUUAAGUUGGAUGUGAAAUCCCCGGGCUCAACCUGGGAACUGCAUUCAAAACUGACUGACUAGAGUAUGGUAGAGGGUGGUGGAAUUUCCUGUGUAGCGGUGAAAUGCGUAGAUAUAGGAAGGAACACCAGUGGCGAAGGCGACCACCUGGACUAAUACUGACACUGAGGUGCGAAAGCGUGGGGAGCAAACA
Molecule: ribosomal RNA, 427 nt
Filed under: uncultured bacterium
Lineage: Bacteria
Description: partial 16S ribosomal RNA
Rfam family: Bacterial small subunit ribosomal RNA
Source: RNAcentral